AUGAACGCUGGCGGCGUGCCUAAUACCUGCAAGUCGAGCGAACAGACGAGGAGCUUGCUCCUCUGACGUUAGCGGCGGACGGGUGAGUAACACGUGGAUAACCUACCUAUAAGACUGGGAUAACUUCGGGAAACCGGAGCUAAUACCGGAUAAUAUAUUGAACCGCAUGGUUCAAUAGUGAAAGAUGGUUUUGCUGUCACUUAUAGAUGGAUCCGCGCCGCAUUAGCUAGUUGGUAAGGUAACGGCUUACCAAGGCAACGAUGCGUAGCCGACCUGAGAGGGUGAUCGGCCACACUGGAACUGAGACACGGUCCAGACUCCUACGGGAGGCAGCAGUAGGGAAUCUUCCGCAAUGGGCGAAAGCCUGACGGAGCAACGCCGCGUGAGUGAUGAAGGUCUUCGGAUCGUAAAACUCUGUUAUUAGGGAAGAACAAAUGUGUAAGUAACUAUGCACGUCUUGACGGUACCUAAUCAGAAAGCCACGGCUAACUACGUG
Molecule: ribosomal RNA, 496 nt
Filed under: uncultured bacterium
Lineage: Bacteria
Description: partial 16S ribosomal RNA
Rfam family: Bacterial small subunit ribosomal RNA
Source: RNAcentral